UGCAUGUGAAGAAUGUGUCCUGGGCU
Molecule: non-coding RNA, 26 nt
Filed under: Rattus norvegicus (Norway rat)
Lineage: Eukaryota; Metazoa; Chordata; Mammalia; Rodentia; Muridae
Source: RNAcentral